UACAGAGGUCUCAAGCGUUGUUCGGAUUCAUUGGGCGUAAAGGGUGUGUAGGUGGCGCCGUAAGUCGGGUGUGAAAUUUCGGAGCUUAACUCCGAAACUGCACUUGAUACUGCCUUGCUCGAGUACUGGAGAGGAGAUUGGAAUUUACGGUGUAGCAGUGAAAUGCGUAGAUAUCGUAAGGAAGACCAGUGGCGAAGGCGAAUCUCUGGACAGUUACUGGCACUGAGGCACGAAGGCCAGGGGAGCAAACGGG
RNAcentral lists this ribosomal RNA (253 nucleotides) under uncultured bacterium. RNAcentral's name for it is "partial 16S ribosomal RNA". It matches the Rfam family "Bacterial small subunit ribosomal RNA", at positions 524 to 776 of the family's 1533-position model. The record is from RNAcentral.